UACGUAGGUGGCAAGCAUUAUCCGGAUUUACUGGGCGUAAAGGGUGCGUAGGCGGAUUUUUAAGUGAGAUGUGAAAUACCCAGGCUCAACCUGGGGGCUGCAUUUCAAACUGGAAAUCUAGAGUGCAGGAGAGGAAAGUGGAAUUCCUAGUGUAGCGGUGAAAUGCGUAGAGAUUAGGAAGAACACCAGUGGCGAAGGCGACUUUCUGGACUGUAACUGACGCUGAGGCACGAAAGCGUGGGGAGCAAACAGG
This 253-nucleotide ribosomal RNA is filed under the name uncultured bacterium. RNAcentral describes it as "partial 16S ribosomal RNA". It matches the Rfam family "Bacterial small subunit ribosomal RNA", at positions 524 to 776 of the family's 1533-position model. The record is from RNAcentral.